GAUGAAGAACGCAGCGAAAUGCGAUACGUAAUGUGAAUUGCAAAUUCAGUGAAUCAUCGAGUCUUUGAACGCACAUUGCGCCCCCUGGUAUUCCGGGGGGCAUGCCUGUCCGAGCGUCAUUGCUGCCCUCAAGCACGGCUUGUGUGUUGGGCCCCGUCCUCCGAUCCCGGGGGACGGGCCCGAAAGGCAGCGGCGGCACCGCGUCCGGUCCUCGAGCGUAUGGGGCUUUGUCACCCGCUCUGUAGGCCCGGCCGGCGCUUGCCGAUCAACCCAGAUUUUUAUCCAGGUUGACCGCGGAUCAGGUAGGGAUACCCGCUGAACUUAAGCAUAUCAAUAACGGAGGA
Molecule: unclassified non-coding RNA, 344 nt
Filed under: soil metagenome
Description: partial contains 5.8S ribosomal RNA, internal transcribed spacer 2, and large subunit ribosomal RNA
Rfam family: 5.8S ribosomal RNA (bases 1-119)
Source: RNAcentral